This 1176-nucleotide long non-coding RNA is filed under the name Heterocephalus glaber (naked mole-rat). RNAcentral's name for it is "lncRNA (ENSHGLG00000045603.1)". Lineage: Eukaryota; Metazoa; Chordata; Mammalia; Rodentia; Bathyergidae. The record is from RNAcentral.
CGGCCUGAUUUUUUUCUUUUAAAUUAGUUAUGAAUGAAUAAUGUUUGUAUAAUUUAGCUUUUAAUACUGCCUAUCAUCAGAAGAGGUAAAAAUAAUUUCUCUAUAUAUGUUUUUAUUGUAUAAAAUAUGAUAAAAACUGCUGCGAAGCAUACAAACCAUUUUCUAUUAGGAGGAUAUCCCAUGCAGGAAGUAGAAUGGGAAUAAAUAUUUAAUGAGAUAAAGGAAUACAAGAAAAUCUCUAAUUGUUGAAAAGGAACUUGUAUUUUUAGUAUGCAUUUAUCAAUUUUUUAUUAGCACAUGUUAGCAGUGUACAGUGAUUGCAUUCACUGUGAGUUGUGCCAUAUUUUAAAAUUCUAUUUGGGGGUAGGUGUGUAAAAAGGUCAAACAUUAAGUGUUUGUGGGGAGAAGACUGAACAUUCGGGAGCCCUAAUGAGUGCAUUGAACCCUUGGAAAAGAGGAAAAGAUACUGAAAGGAAAUGCAAGAAGGAGGAGGCCUGUAAAUCAGGCAUUUGCCCUCUCUGUCUGGACAGCAGCAAGCCUGUCUCCGGGACGGUUUCCUGAGGCCCUCGGGCAGGAAAAGCGAGAUAAACUGUCGCCUUUAUAACCUUAUGCUGAGUUUCAGUUUUCCCAGAUAAGAGUGGGCAGGAAAUUGAGUAACAGCUUCACCUGCUACAAGUGCUGGAGAUACACACCCAUGAAGGCAGCGCCUUACGAUGCACUGAGAGCUGCUCUCCUGUCAUAUUAGUUUUGGUUUUCUAGGUGCUAUAAUCUGGAUUAUAAAACACCGGAACAAACAGAGAGCAUUCGUUCAUGAAGCAGUGUGUUGGAAGUGAGUCUGUGGGGAGCCUAGCAUGGCUGCUGUGGCUCAGGCUGUGCACAGAGGCGACGGCCUCAGUCACACCUGCAGCCGGGUCCUGGGGAAGUGGGCAGAAAUCAGCUGGAAAAGCAGGCACCUCUCGGGUGUGAGGGCCCUGUGCUUCCUUCCAGGGAGUGUGGAGAUUUGUCUGACAGCACGGAAAGUGGAAGGGUUUAGACGGAGCACGCACUGCGUGGGGAGGCUGGCUGUGAGAGAGCCUCGUGCCAGAGACCCUGUGAGCGCCUCACUGUCCUAGGACCACUGCUGCCUCGCCACCCGCUGCUCCUCCGGUUACUGUGUGUGCCCAGCUCCGAGCCCCG